GUGGGGAAUCUUAGACAAUGGGGGAAACCCUGAUCUAGCCAUGCCGCGUGAUCGAUGAAGGCCUUAGGGUUGUAAAGAUCUUUCAGGUGGGAAGAUAAUGACUGUACCACCAGAAGAAGCCCCGGCUAACUCCGUGCCAGCAGCCGCGGUAAUACGGAGGGGGCUAGCGUUGUUCGGAAUUACUGGGCGUAAAGCGCACGUAGGCGGAUUGGAAAGUUGGGGGUGAAAUCCCGGGGCUCAACCCCGGAACUGCCUUCAAAACUCCCAGUCUUGAGUGCGAGAGAGGUGAGUGGAAUUCCGAGUGUAGAGGUGAAAUUCGUAGAUAUUCGGAGGAACACCAGUGGCGAAGGCGGCUCACUGGCUCGAUACUGACGCUGAGGUGCGAAAGCGUGGGGAGCAAACAGGAUUAGAUACCCCUGUAGUCC
RNAcentral lists this ribosomal RNA (425 nucleotides) under uncultured bacterium. RNAcentral describes it as "partial 16S ribosomal RNA". It matches the Rfam family "Bacterial small subunit ribosomal RNA", at positions 354 to 796 of the family's 1533-position model. The record is from RNAcentral.